CAAUCAAAUACGAUUAAAUGCAUAGGUGAAAGAUCUUUAUCUUUCACCUAUGCAUUUAAUCGUACUUUUU
This 70-nucleotide microRNA precursor is filed under the name Hofstenia miamia. RNAcentral describes it as "microRNA MIR397". Lineage: Eukaryota; Metazoa; Xenacoelomorpha; Acoela; Hofsteniidae. The record is from RNAcentral.